ACUCCUACGGGAGGCAGCAGUGAGGAAUAUUGGACAAUGGGCGGGAGCCUGAUCCAGCCAUGCCGCGUGCAGGAGACUGCCCUAUGGGUUGUAAACUGCUUUUGUACAGGAAGAAACACUCCCUCGUUGAAGGGAGCUUGACGUUACUGUAAGAAUAAGGAAUCGGCUAACUCCCGGUGCCAGCAGCCGCGGUAAUACGGAGGAUCCAAGCGUUAUCCGGAAUCAUUGGGUUUAAAGGGUCCGUAGGUGGAUGAUUAAGUCAGAGGUGAAAUCCUGCAGCUCAACUGUAGAAUUGCCUUUGAUACUGGGUUGUCUUGAAUUAUUGUGAAGUAGGUUAGAAUAUGUGGUGUAGCGGUGAAAAUGCAUAGAUAUCACAUAGAAUACCGAUUGCGAAGGCACGAUUACUAACAAUACAUUGACACUGAUGGACGAAAGCGUGGGGAGCGAACAGGAUUAGAUACCCUGGUAGCUACGAGU
This 477-nucleotide ribosomal RNA is filed under the name uncultured bacterium. RNAcentral describes it as "bacterial SSU rRNA". It matches the Rfam family "Bacterial small subunit ribosomal RNA", at positions 335 to 802 of the family's 1533-position model. The record is from RNAcentral.